Molecule: ribosomal RNA, 229 nt
Filed under: uncultured bacterium
Lineage: Bacteria
Description: partial 16S ribosomal RNA
Rfam family: Bacterial small subunit ribosomal RNA
Source: RNAcentral
UGCGUAGGCGGGCUAAUAAGUCAGUGGUGAAAUCUCUCGGCUCAACCGGGAAACUGCCAUUGAUACUGUUAGUCUUAAGUUCGGUUGAGGUAGGCGGAAUGUGUAAUGUAGCGGUGAAAUGCUUAGAUAUUACACAGAACACCAAUUGCGUAGGCAGCUUACUAGACCGACACUGACGCUGAGGCACGAAAGCGUGGGGAGCGAACAGGAUUAGAUACCCUGGUAGUCC